Molecule: long non-coding RNA, 579 nt
Organism: Xenopus laevis (African clawed frog)
Lineage: Eukaryota; Metazoa; Chordata; Amphibia; Anura; Pipidae
Exons: 2
Source: RefSeq, a predicted model, not a curated record
GAUUGCCCCGCCUCCUAGUGAUAACAUGAGGAUUGCCCCGCCUCCUAGCGAUAACCCCAGGAUUGCCCGCCUCCUAGUGAUUAUCCUGAUAUCCCCCUGCUCCUCACGAUAGCCCCAGUGCGACCGGCACCCACCAAUUUCUCUUCUCCUGUGGGUCCUCUCGGGGCUGCCAUCCAGGAUGUAGGUGAUGGCCUCGGGAUUGAAGGAGGCGGCGGCCCUCUCCCUGCUUAAAUCUGGGUUCAUUCUCUUGUCUGUCCGGCUGGAAUAAGCAACUCAGACCUUCGGCCUCACUAGUGACAGCUAAACCCCGCCCCUCCCGACCACAAGACGGAAAAGGGCGGCGAUCUAGCGGGAACCCGUCCCCCAGACUACAACUCCCAGCAGGCCCCGCGGUGGGCGUGGCCAUAUCAGUGACCAAGUAGGAAAUAAGCAAAAGUCACGGCGGGAUGAUUAGAUUCGAGUGUCAUAAGUGCGAAUUUAUAGGGACCAUCGCCAUGGAGUCAUCUUGUGAUGUCAUCAACCAAGUUAACCUUAGGGCCAGAAAUGACAGUUUUUUCAGUUGUGGCUUUGCAGUCAGAA